CUGAAGAGGAGACUUAUCUAAACAGGAUUAGCCGAGCCUGUAUGUGACUGAGGGAGUGUGAAAUGCUAGAAGGGUACCGCUGAUCACCUUUUCCAGCCCGAUUCUCCAGCAUUCACAAAAGAGGAUCUUCAGCUGUGUUCUAUGGACCCGGAGAGCCUGGCUUGUGGGCACCUCGUGCCUGGGAGGGGCCGGGAGCCUCCUCAUUAGCACCACGGUCAGCUCACGAGCCUGGAGCGGGUGGAGGGAGAGCUCGCAGCGCCAGCGCUGGAAGGAGGAAGCGCAAGAGCGAACAGGCGGGGGAGGAAAAGGAGAGGAAAGGAAGGAGGCCAGCGGCUCCUGGGCUAGUGCAAGGGAUCUGGAAGCAGUCAGAGCAGCAGGUCAGAGUGGGAACUGUUCACUUGCGCUGGGCAGACUCUAGCAGCUCGCCAGUCACUCUGGGCGGAUGCUGCUGGCGGAGACCGGAUGCCAGUUAGAAGAUAGUGUGAAGACUGAAGAUUUAUGUCAAAUACCAAUACAUUGUUUAAAAUGCAAUGGCCAGAAGACAAGGAAGUAUCACCCGAAAUAUGUGGACGUGGACUCCGGGACUGCUGCUGAUGACUGUGAUCUUUUGGGGUCAGCAAGGGAAUGGACAAAGCCAAGGUAUGUGGAAGCGUGCUCUGAUACUCUGAAACCUCUUUAUGAGUUCCCUUUUGGAAUGAAAUUAUGCUGGCUUUGACUUGAUGCGUUAGUCAGUUUGUUAUCAUCCUACCCUGAGUUUUUUGUCAUCAUCUGCUGUAAUAAUUUUGAAACAGUUGAACCAGAAAUAGGUGCAAAUUGGUGUAUUGAAUUUGAAGCCAUCAUCCCCAAAUUGGUUUUACUCAGAUGUAGUAGAUGAUCCAUCUAUAUGUGUGUGCGC
This 895-nucleotide long non-coding RNA is filed under the name Fukomys damarensis (Damara mole-rat). Its description in RNAcentral is "lncRNA (ENSFDAG00000025827.1)". The record is from RNAcentral. Lineage: Eukaryota; Metazoa; Chordata; Mammalia; Rodentia; Bathyergidae.